GGGCGCAAGCCUGAUCCAGCAAUGCCGCGUGCAGGAUGAAGGCCUUCGGGUUGUAAACUGCUUUUGUACGGAACGAAAAGCCCUGGGUUAAUACCCUGGGGUCAUGACGGUACCGUAAGAAUAAGCACCGGCUAACUACGUGCCAGCAGCCGCGGUAAUACGUAGGGUGCGAGCGUUAAUCGGAAUUACUGGGCGUAAAGCGUGCGCAGGCGGUUUUGUAAGACAGAGGUGAAAUCCCCGGGCUCAACCUGGGAACUGCCUUUGUGACUGCAAGGCUAGAGUACGGCAGAGGGGGAUGGAAUUCCGCGUGUAGCAGUGAAAUGCGUAGAUAUGCGGAGGAACACCGAUGGCGAAGGCAAUCCCCUGGGCCUGUACUGACGCUCAUGCACGAAAGCGUGGGGAGCAAACAGGAUUAGAUACCCUGGUAGUCCACGCCCUAAACGAUGUCAACUGGUUGUUGGGUCUUAACUGACUCAGUAACGAAGCUAACGCGUGAAGUUGACCGCCUGG
This 510-nucleotide ribosomal RNA is filed under the name uncultured bacterium. RNAcentral describes it as "bacterial SSU rRNA". It matches the Rfam family "Bacterial small subunit ribosomal RNA", at positions 373 to 876 of the family's 1533-position model. The record is from RNAcentral.